AUGAACGCUGGCGGCGUGCCUAAUACAUGCAAGUCGAGCGAACGGACGAGAAGCUUGCUUCUCUGAUGUUAGCGGCGGACGGGUGAGUAACACGUGGAUAACCUACCUAUAAGACUGGGAUAACUUCGGGAAACCGGAGCUAAUACCGGAUAAUAUUUUGAACCGCAUGGUUCAAAAGUGAAAGACGGUCUUGCUGUCACUUAUAGAUGGAUCCGCGCUGCAUUAGCUAGUUGGUAAGGUAACGGCUUACCAAGGCAACGAUGCAUAGCCGACCUGAGAGGGUGAUCGGCCACACUGGAACUGAGACACGGUCCAGACUCCUACGGGAGGCAGCAGUAGGGAAUCUUCCGCAAUGGGCGAAAGCCUGACGGAGCAACGCCGCGUGAGUGAUGAAGGUCUUCGGAUCGUAAAACUCUGUUAUUAGGGAAGAACAUAUGUGUAAGUAACUGUGCACAUCUUGACGGUACCUAAUCAGAAAGUCACGGCUAACUACGUG
RNAcentral lists this ribosomal RNA (496 nucleotides) under uncultured bacterium. Its description in RNAcentral is "partial 16S ribosomal RNA". It matches the Rfam family "Bacterial small subunit ribosomal RNA", at positions 29 to 507 of the family's 1533-position model. The record is from RNAcentral.